AGGCUGCAACUCGCCUACACGAAGUCGGAAUCGCUAGUAAUCGCGGAUCAGCAUGCCGCGGUGAAUACGUUCCCGGGCCCUUGUACACACCGCCCGUCACACCAUGGGAGUUUGUAACGCCCAAAGUCGGUGGCCUAACCUUUAUGGAGGGAGCCGCCUAAGGCGGGACAGAUGACUGGGGUGAAGUCGUAACAAGGUAAC
This 201-nucleotide ribosomal RNA is filed under the name uncultured bacterium. RNAcentral's name for it is "partial 16S ribosomal RNA". It matches the Rfam family "Bacterial small subunit ribosomal RNA", at positions 1302 to 1500 of the family's 1533-position model. The record is from RNAcentral.